Molecule: ribosomal RNA, 254 nt
Filed under: uncultured bacterium
Lineage: Bacteria
Description: partial 16S ribosomal RNA
Rfam family: Bacterial small subunit ribosomal RNA
Source: RNAcentral
UACGGGGGGAGCAAGCGUUGUUCGGAUUUACUGGGCGUAAAGGGCGCGUAGGCGGCCAGCACAAGUCAGUUGUGAAAUCUCCGAGCUUAACUCGGAAAGGUCAACUGAUACUGUGCGGCUAGAGUGCGGAAGGGGCAACUGGAAUUCUUGGUGUAGCGGUGAAAUGCGUAGAUAUCAAGAGGAACACCUGCGGCGAAGGCGGGUUGCUGGGCCGACACUGACGCUGAGGCGCGAAAGCCAGGGUAGCGAACGGG